UACGGAGGGGGCGAGCGUUAUUCGGAAUUAUUGGGCGUAAAGGGCGCGUAGGCGGCCCGGUAAGUCAAAGGUGAAAUCCCUCGGCUCAACUGAGGAACUGCCUUUGAAACUGUCGGGCUUGAGGCCGGGAGGGGGUAGCGGAAUUCCCAGUGUAGCGGUGAAAUGCGUAGAUAUUGGGAGGAACACCGGUGGCGAAGGCGGCUACCUGGACCGGUUCUGACGCUGAUGCGCGAAAGCGUGGGGAGCAAAAGGG
RNAcentral lists this ribosomal RNA (253 nucleotides) under uncultured bacterium. Its description in RNAcentral is "partial 16S ribosomal RNA". It matches the Rfam family "Bacterial small subunit ribosomal RNA", at positions 524 to 776 of the family's 1533-position model. The record is from RNAcentral.